UCCUAUACCCAGCAGCCCAGCUGCAGCACCUCUGGAGGCUCCUUCUUCUGAACCAGUUCCAUGAUGUGGUGACUGGAAGCUGCAUCCAGAUGGUGGCAGAGGAAGCCAUGUGCCAUUAUGAAGACAUCCGUUCCCAUGGCAAUACACUGCUCAGCGCCGCAGCCGCAGCCCUGUGUGCUGGGGAGCCAGGUCCUGAGGGCCUCCUCAUCGUCAACACACUGCCCUGGAAGCGGACCGAAGUGAUGGCCCUGCCCAAACCAGGCGGGGCCCACAGCCUAGGUACGAGCUGAGGGGAAGGGUUGCUACUGCAGCAGGAAGGAUGGAGGCCAGACAGAUCAGGCCUGGGAUACCCCGAUGGAUCUGGGUGCCCCUGACUGGAGAGUAGUAGCACAACUUCCACCAGCCCAUCCCCACCUGCGCAAGCUUCCUGAAAGGUCAGGAAGGCUGCACUGAUGCCCAGGCCUCACCCCCAGCCCUGGUGACAGUGCCCAGCAUGGGCUAUGCUCCUGUUCCUCCCCCCACCUCACUGCAGCCCCUGCUGCCCCAGCAGCCUGUGU
This 557-nucleotide small RNA is filed under the name Pan troglodytes (chimpanzee). RNAcentral's name for it is "retained intron". The record is from RNAcentral. Lineage: Eukaryota; Metazoa; Chordata; Mammalia; Primates; Hominidae.